RNAcentral lists this unclassified non-coding RNA (625 nucleotides) under Hevea brasiliensis (rubber tree). The record is from RNAcentral. Lineage: Eukaryota; Viridiplantae; Streptophyta; Magnoliopsida; Malpighiales; Euphorbiaceae.
GUUUCAUGCUAAAUGUUUCAUUCAAUACAAAUGAUGAAACACUAUAGGCCAAGAACUAAGAUCUCUAAUUCUCCUUCCCUAUAAUGAAGGAAACUACACUACUUAUCCUACAAUCAAAGAUGAAGAUACUACAUUACAUCAGAGCUAACAAUCAAGUUAAACACAGAAAGGAUGAGUUCGAUUUUCGCCAAUGCUUACGUUGAGAUUGCAUGGAGUCAGCUGGAAAAAGUCGAAUUGAUUGAAAAGCCUCAUCGACUAGUUGUUAAGCGCUGGAGUUGAUAAAAGAUGGAAUUCAUUGACUAGCUUUUCUCCGGUUGCUAAAGCAUCUAAAUUUUCCACGGCGCAAGGAGAAUCAGAAUUUAUCUUGAUGCCUUUGCCAUAAGCAGCAAUGAGAAGAGCCUCAGCUCGACCAUGAUCUUUCUUCCUUUUCAAUGAAGAACUCAAAGAGGGAAACAAUGAAGAUGCUAGUUCCCUGCUAUAAUCCUUGUUUGAGCGUUCUCUUGUAAGUCGAAACUCACUCUUCCAUGCACUUGAUGGCACAGGAGUAACGGAAAAUCCGGAUGCAACUAACAAACCAAUCCAUAGUCCAUAGCCGAAUCCUCCACUCCACCAUCCCAUCUUGUGG